UGGCGAACGGGUGAGUAACACGUGGGUAACCUGCCCAUCAGAAGGGGAUAACACUUGGAAACAGGUGCUAGUACCGUAUAACACUAUUUUCCGCAUGGAAGAAAGUUGAAAGGCGCUUUUGCGUCACUGAUGGAUGGACCCGCGGUGCAUUAGCUAGUUGGUGAGGUAACGGCUCACCAAGGCAACGAUGCACAGCCGACCUGAGAGGGUGAUCGGCCACACUGGGACUGAGACACGGCCCAGACUCCUACGGGAGGCAGCAGUAGGGAAUCUUCGGCAAUGGACGAAAGUCUGACCGAGCAACGCCGCGUGAGUGAAGAAGGUUUUCGGAUCGUAAAACUCUGUUGUUAGAGAAGAACAAGGAUGAGAGUAAAACGUCAUCCC
Molecule: ribosomal RNA, 384 nt
Filed under: Enterococcus casseliflavus
Lineage: Bacteria; Bacillati; Bacillota; Bacilli; Lactobacillales; Enterococcaceae
Description: bacterial SSU rRNA
Rfam family: Bacterial small subunit ribosomal RNA
Source: RNAcentral